ACAGCAGAGCGGGUGCUGCCAGCUCAAGGUCCAACAGCAGAGACCACGCCUGACCGCAUAUCUGGGGGGAUCCCCCUGUGGACCCGCCGGCGCAUCUGCGGGAAAGAAGUAGCCCGGAGACACGCGCAGGGGAUGCUGUGGGGGAGUCGGAGCGAGACAAGGUGAAGAUGCUGGGGAGAGGCUGGCUCUGCCCGGACCUGGGCACACUUGGAUGAACUAGGAGUGGCCUGUGGGCCCGGCUGGUCCCGCCCUGCAGGGUCCUGGGCUAGGCUGGCCAGGGAAGCCAUGGGGGACCUAGGUUAGCCCCUUCAGGGUCAGGAUGCUCAGCUUUCUCCUUUCUCACUGUCCCAGGAUUUACUCCAGUUCCUCUGUAUCUUCACCUACUUAUCGGCUCACCUGAUCUCCUGGGUUCUUUGCUGGAAAAGGGGACCUGGUGGUGUUAGCCAAGCAGCCAGCUUCCCUAGAGUGGCCCUGACUCAGGGCCAUGGUCUCAGAAGAGCCAGGAAGGCACAGACCCCUCACAGCCCAAGGACACCUCGACCGCUCUGGGGUCGGGCAGCGGGGAACCGCAGCUCCGCCUCAGCCACCUCCCGCCUCCCACCAGGACAGUGGGAGACGGGUUCUCACCCUCGCCUUGUGGGUGCUGAAGCCGUGGAUGCUGAGGCUGAGCUGCUCCCAACUUGAAGGCAAGAGAUGCAGAGCCAUGAGGACCAGCUUCCUGGAGCCCCCCGCCCCGUCUCAGCCCAGGAGACUCUGGAGGGGAGGACUGACCGCCCGGGGGUCAGUGGUGCCCCUCCUCCCGCUGCUGCUGGUCACCCCCCUCUGCCCCCCGCCCCUGCCCUGCCAGGCCGAGCGGCCUCUCCCAGAGCAGGCGGGUCCAGGAGCCCAGCACCUGCUGCUCAGCCUCCCCUCCUCCACUGCGGCCCGGCCGGGCCUCCUACCCCGAGUCUCCUCCUGGCACCAGACAAGGGGUCAAACUCCACCCGCCUCUGCCACUUUCCAUGAGCUUCCAGGUCCUGCCGGCCUAUCCUCCAACGCCUGAAACCACGUCUCUCACUGCCCUUCAUGCAAUGUCCUCACGUGGCCCCCCAGCUGGGCCUGCUGCCCUUGGAAACCUGUGGGCCAGGCGCCCCUCGUCCUGUGGCCACCCUCCGUAGAGCCACUGUGGACCAGUCUGAGCCCACCCCGACCCUGCUGGACAGAUGCCCGGCCCCUCCGCGGUGUCGGUGUGGAGGCUCCGGGGCUGAGGCCAAAGCCCGGCUCAGAGCCCAGCUCUGCCCGUGCCACCUCCCCGAGCCCCCUUGGCGCGAGGUUAGUGCGGAUGCUGGUCCCCAGUGUCCCCCACGGCUUGAGGCCCAGAGCUGGGCAGAAGGGCCCUGCCUCCAGAGAGGUGCUUCCCCAAAUGGGAGCCCUCCUGGGGGACAUUGCGGGGGUUGGGGGGGCGGUGUCCAGAUGGCUCACAGCCAAAAACCUAGCCUGUCGGUGACUUUAUAGAGUGAGAGAUCAGAAUCUCCCCUCGGUUCCACUGGAGGCCCUGACUGGCGCCCCUGAAACCCAGAUGGGGCACCAAGGUGAGGGUACAACCAGAGCGACAGAGGGCCUAGCACAAGACCCUGCCCAAAGGGGCGCCGCCUGUGCCUCACCUGCUUGUACCUGCUUUGAUCUUGCCUGGGGCACACCUGCUGCCUAUAGGCCCCACCUGGGCCUCACCUGCUCAGCCUUGGCUCUGAUCCCACCAGGGACAUACCUGCCCCCGUGGGCUAUGAUUCCCCGCCUGGGCCUCACCUGUCCCCUCGGGCUCUGGUCUGCACCUGGGCUGCUCUGAUUCCCACUUGGGGGAUGUGCCUGCUCCUGCUGCUGCUGAUGCCCACCUGGGCCUCACCUGUUCUGCUGGCUCUGGUCCCCACCAGGCCUCUCUGCCUGUCCUUGGCUCUGCCCCCUGCCUGGGCUGCACCUGCUCCUAGUGGCUUCGCUCCCUCUGGAGCCUCACCUCAUAUUUGGCAGUUAUUUCUGCUCGUUCCAGGGCCAGCAGGGUCUCCAGCUUUUCUAUAUCUGAUGCUACAAGAAAAAAAAUCCAAACAUUCCAGUGUACAAAAGAGCUUCAGCGAACCAACAGGUUGAAGUGGGCUCCCUCUUGGCAGUUCCCCGCCUCUCUGAUCAGAGGGGAGAAAAUGGUGCCUCCUGGGUGAGUGGCACCCCAAACGCCCUAACGCCUCCACUUACAGAGCCCUCCCAGCAGCCUGGAGAUCUUGGCACAAUGAGAUGAGGAACAAGAAGGGGACCUGGAGGGGGGUCAGUGCAGAGGCGCGGGCUCCUGGCCCAGGGGCGCCGAGGGGAAGGCAGCUGCCAGCUGGCAAGGGCCCCGCAGGCUCAUGGGAUGCACGUUUUGCUUGGGCAUCCGAAACCCAGGUGACAAAAGAUCAACCUUGAUAAGCUGAACUUUAUCAAAAUGAAAACGGCUGUGCCUCAGGUGACACAGUCAAGAGAAAGACAAUCCACACUGCGAAUACAAAUGUGUGAACGGCCUAACUGACCGGGGCCUAGGAUACAGAAUAUGGCCAGACUCCUAAGUCCACGGUAGAAACGGCUCAAGUAGACAGUGGGCGGAGGACUUGGAUGUUUCUCCAAAGUCAACCCAACUUGAGGGAAGAGGGCCAGCGGGCACAGGAGACAAGCCUCAACAUUGGCAUCAGGGGGAUGCAAAUGGAGGCCCCCAGGAGACCGCACCUCUCACCUGCUGGAGGGGUUUUACUGAGCACCUGAGGAUGUGGAGAGACUGGAACUUUCCUGUAGGGGCUGGCAGGAUUGCAAAAUGGCCCAGAUGGGCGCCCAAGAGAGAGGGACAGGGACGCAGACAUCUGUACACGCACGUUCAUAGCAGAAGCACUCCCAAGAGCACGAAGGUGGGCCCCCUCCCAGACAGGUGGCGGGAGGUCCAGGAUGGGAUGGCACGUCAUUCAACCGGAGGAGGAGUGACCCGCUGCCCCGUGUUCCCCCUUGGACGGAUGUGAGGCUCAGCAAAGAGAGCAGAGCCGGAAGACCGCCCGUCGUGAGGCUCCGUGCAUGUGCAGCGGCCAGCAGAGCCGGGCCCAGAGAGACAGGAAGUGGUCCAUGGUCUCCGGGGCUGGGGGAGGGCCCAGUGCGGGUGUCUGUUGAUAACAGAUUUUGUGGACAAGGUGGUGGCGGGUGGACAUAGUGUGAUGGUGGCAUGACGUCACAAAUAUACUCAAAACCACUGAGUGGUCUGCUU
This 3250-nucleotide long non-coding RNA is filed under the name Sus scrofa (pig). RNAcentral's name for it is "lncRNA (ENSSSCG00000046488.1)". Lineage: Eukaryota; Metazoa; Chordata; Mammalia; Artiodactyla; Suidae. The record is from RNAcentral.